CACAGAACACUGGCAGGGGUGGCUGGAGGCCCUAGUUGGGAGGUCCCUCACUGCGCCAGACCCCAAGACCUCCAUGCCAGAGAGAAUUCAAAUCUCUGUCAGCCCCAGAACACUGGCGGGAGUGUCUCAAGGCCCCUAUUGGGAGGUCCCUCGCUGAAUGGAACCUCAAGACCUCCAUCCCAAAGAGAAUUCAAAUCUCUGUCAGCCUGAGAACACCAGCGGGGGUGGCUGGAGGCCCCUGUUGGGAGGUCCCUCACUGGGCGGGACCUCGAGACCUCCAUGCUGGGGAGAAUUCAAAUCUCUGUCAGCCCCAGAACGCUGGCGGGGGUGGCUGGAGGCCCCGGUUGGGAGGUCCCGCCCAGCGAGGAGGAAUGGAUUGGGGAUCCACUUAAAGAGGCAGUCUGGCCACAUUUUGGUAGAGCAGCUGUGCUGCGUGGGGGAUCCCUUCUGCCCUCAGUUGGUUUGGGUUCUCAAAAGCCCAACAGGCUGGAAUGGCUAAGUUACCCAAACAACAAAGAUGGUGGCCUGCCCUGUCCCCUAGGAAGUCAGUCUCAGGUAGGUAAAACACUGUUGCUGGUGGCUGGCUGGAGUUGUUUCCUUGAUUAUGUGAGUAAUGCGAGUACCUGGUUGUUUCAGUUGAAGGUGCUGUAUUGACUUGCCCUUUUCAUUCCUCUCCAUGAGAGCCGUGCACCCUAGCUUCUUCUAGUCAGUCAUCUUGGCCACACACCCCCAUAAUCGUAUUUUUUAACUAAAUCAUUCUUUAAAACUCUAACAAAAUAUUUAAACAUUUAAAAAGUGUGAGCUUUAGAAAUGCCUAAUUACAUCUUAGGUUUGAGACACGUAGCAGUUAUGUACAUUGUCAAUUCCAGAUUUUGCAUCUUACAAGGAAAGGACUUAGAUCUUAUUCAGUCUUUGUGUGUCUAAACUAUCUUCGCCUGUAAAAUGAGUACAAUGAAGUACUUUAUAGAGUUGUAAAUGUUAUAUGUAAAAAUAUAGCAGUGAGGGGGCAGUGGGCUGGCCAAGGUGGCCGAGUUGAAGCAGCUAGUGUGUUUGGCUCUCACAGAGAGGAACACAAGGGGAGAGUCAAUACUGCACCUUCAACUGAAACAUCCAGGUACUCACAUUGGGACUAACCAAGGAAACAACUUGACCCAGGGAGAAUGAAGAAAAGAAAGGCAAAACGACAGCCCACCUGGGAGUACCACAGAGCCAGGGGGAGCUCUCUCACCCAGGGAAGCAGUGAGUGAAUGUGUGACCCUGGAAACCCAUGCUUUUUCCAUGGAUCUUUGCAAUCCUUGGGUCGGGAGUUCUCAUGAACCCACUUUACCAGGGCCUUCAGUCUGACAGAGCUACGUGGAAUCUUGGCACAGCAGCCACUCAGGCACACAUGGAGACCUGGGAGCCUUAGGUACCUGGGCUUUCCUGCAAAAGUAGCUGCAACUGUGGCAAAGUGGGAGGUGAGACCCUCAUACAUAUCCCUAGGGAAGAGGCUGAAUUCAGGGAGCUGAGCAGCAACAGCCUGCAGGCCCCACUUCCACAGCACCUCACAGGAUAAGAGCCACUGGCUUGGAAUUCCAGCCAGCCACCAGCAACACUGUUGAGCCUCCCUGAGACAGAGCUCCUGAGAGAAGGGGUAGGCCACCAUCUUUGCUGUUUGGGCAACUUAGCUGCUCCAGCCUUCGGGAUUUGGAGAGUCUCAGCGGACCAGGGACAGAGGGAUCCAUUAGCACAGCACAGUGCUACUCUACCAAAAUAUGGCCGGACUACUGCUUUAAGAAGGUCCCCAAUCCCAUUCCUCCUCACUGGGCAGGACCUCCCAACCAGGGCCUCUAGCUACCCACUCUGGUAUUCUCAGGCUGACAGAGAUUUGAAUUCUCCCUGAGAUGGAGUGCCCUGAGGGAGGCGUGGGCCGCCAUAUUUGAUGUUUUGGCAACUUAGCCAUUCCAGCCUUUGGGCUUUAAGGAGUCCCAGCUGACUUAGGGCGGAUAUGGCCCCCCAGCACAGCACAGCUGCUGUACAAAAGCAUAGCCAGACUGCUUCUUUAAGUAGGUCCCGGAUUCAUUCCUCCUCACUGUUUGGGACUUCCCAACUGGGGCCUCCAACCACCCCCACUGGUGUUCUCCUGCUGACAGUGAUUUCAAUUUUUUCUGGGCUGGAGCUCCCUGAUGGAGGGGCAGGCCACCAUCUUUGCUGUUUUUGCAACUUAGCCACUUCAACCUUCAGUCUUUGGAGUGUCCAAGGAGACCAGGGGGUGAUGUGGACCCUCAGCAUACCACAGCUGCUCUAUAAAAAUGAGGCCAGACUGCGUUUUUAAGCACUUUCCCAAUGCCAUUCCUCCUCACUGGGCAAAACCUCCAAACUGGGGUCUCCAGCCACCUCCUACAGGUGUGUUUGGGCCAGCAACAAGUUCAUUCAUACCUCCCUAGGGCAAAGCUUCCAAAGGGAGCGGUAGGCUGCCAUCUUUGCUGUUUCACAGGCUUCACUGAUGAUAACUCCAGGUACUGGAAAAUCUGAGGCUACUAGAGACUGGAGCGGGCCCUGGGCAUACUGCAGCAGCCCUAUGGAAAAGUGGCCAGACUGUUACCUGGGUUCCCAUUCCUAUAUCUUCUCACUAGGCAAGUCUUGCAGGCCUGGACCUCUACCUAACCCCCCCUACCAGAACUGUUGAGCCAGUAGCAACUCAGCCACUCCCUGGAGAGAGCCUCCAGGGGCAACUGAAAGCCUCUCUGCCACUGCUUCUGCAGUGGAACUGUCCUUGCUACCCUCAGACUGAUGAAGGAGCUAACACCCUUAUCUACACCUUCAACAAGCUUUAAUUGACCAAAGCCCAUCUCUCAUGGGUUCUACACACUCCCCACUGCUCAUGACAGGGAACCCCUGGAUUGGCCCCCACAGCACGAAUUCUCCAUCCUGAUUGCUGAUUGCAGUAAACAGUUGCUGUAUUCUCCAGGGGUGGUGGAACUCUGAGGAGACAAACAAAAGACCCUUGGCUACAACCACUACUAAUGUCCCUUCCUCUUCUGCCUCAAAGUUAGGAAAGAAAUAUAAACACUGAGAUUGCCCCAGAGCUGCAGUGGGCAGCCUAGGAGUGCCAAGCCAUGACCUACAGCCAGCACUCAAGGGGGAGAGAAGCACAUUUUCAGAUCAUUGAGAGGGAACAUGGCUGCAACUGUAAGGAAACAUAGGGGAGCCACAUGACCAAGCAAGAGUCUACCAACUGACCAGUAAGCCCAAGUGCCACCUACUGGAUCACAUCCCAAAGCUUCAGCAUCAAAAAUACCUUACUAAUAUACUCCCCUCUGAAACCAGAAAUGAGAAGUCAGCUUCAAAUAAAGACCCUGCACAAAGCCUCAGCCUGGUGAAAACAUCCGAAAAUAAGUCUACGGACUGUACUCAAUCUACACUGCAAUUAAAGGAAAACCCAUAGGUGGAAAUGAGAAGAAACCAAUGCAAGAACUCCAGUAACUCAAAUGGCCUCUGUGUCAUAUGUCCUUCUAACAACCACACCAGUUCUCCAACAAGAGUUCUUAACCUGGAUGAACUGUCUGGAAUUACAUAAAUAUAAUUCAGAAUAUGGAUAGGAAAAAAAAUCAUCAAGACUCAGGAGAAUGGCAAAACCCAAUCCGAGGAAAAUAAGAAUAACAGUAAAGUGUUACAGGAGCUGAAGGAUAAAGUAGCUGGUAUAAUAAAAAAGAACCUAACCGAUCUGAAAGCGCCGAAGAACACAAUACAAGAAUUCCACAAUGCAAUCACAAGUAUUAACAGCAGAAAAAAAAAUCUGAGGAACGAAUCUCAGAACUUGAAGAUUGGUUCUCUAAAAUAAGAUGGACAAAAAUAAAAAAGAAUGAACAAAACCUUCAAGGAGGAUGGGAUUAUAUAAAGAGGCCAAUUCUACAAAUCACUGGCAUCUCUGAAAGGGAGGUGGAGAAAUCAAACAACUUGGAAAACGUAGUUCAGGAUAUCAUCUUUGAAAGCUUCCCUAACCUUGCUAGAAAGGCCAACAGUCAAAUUCAGGAGAUACAAAGAACUCCUACAAGAUUCUACACAAGACCAUCCUCAAGACACAUAAACAUCAGGUUUUCCAAGGUCGAAAUGAGGGAAAAUAUGUUAAAGGCAGCCAGAGAGAAAGGGCAGGCCAUCUACAAAGGGAACCCCAUUAGGCUAACAGCAGAUCUCUCAGCUGAAAUCCUACAAGCCAGAAGGGAUUGGGGGACUAUAUUUAACAUUAUUAAAGAAAAUCUUCAACCAAGAAUUUCAUAUACAGCUAAACUAAGCUUUCUAAAUGAAGGAGAAAUGAGAUCAUUUACAGACAAGCAAAUUCUGAGGUAAUUCAUUACCACCACAUCUGCCUUACAAGAGAUUUUAGAAAGGAGGACUAAAUAUAGAAAGGAAAGACCACUACACGCUAAUGCAAAAACAUACUUAAACACACAGACCGGUGACACUAUAAAGCAACCACACAAAAAAGCCAACAUAAUAACCAGCCAACAGCACAAUGACAAGAUCAAAUCUACACAAAUCGAUACUAGCCUUGAAUGUAAAUGGGCAAAUGCCCCACUUAAAAGGCACAGAGUGGCAAGCUAGAUUUAAAAAAAAAAAAAGCGAGACCCAAUGGUAUGUCGUCUUCAAGAGACCCAUCUCACACAUAAUGACACUCAUCGUCUCAAACUAAAAGGAUGGAGAAAAAUCUACCAGACAAAUAGAAAACAGAAAAAAAGCAGAGGUUGCAAUCCUAAUUUCAGACAAAACAGAUUUCAAAUGAACAAUAAUUUUUCAAAAGGACAAGGGGGCAGGGGCAAGAUAGCCGACUAGAAGCAGCUGCAGUUUGAGGCUCCCACUGAGAAGAACUAAAAGAGUGUGCAAAUCCUGCAGCAGCAACUGACAUAUCCAGGUUCUAUGAUCAGGACUGACUAGGUGGUUGCCGUGACCCAUAGAGAACAAGGAAAGAUGGGCUGGUGGAUUGGCCCACCUGGGAGCCACAUGGGGCAAGGGGAGCCCUCACCCUCAGCCAGCCAAGGGAGGCAGUGAGUGAGCAUGCUACCCAGCCUGGGAAACUGCUUUUUCCAUGGAUCUUUGCAAUCCACAGAUCAGAAGAUCCCACUCAUGAGACCACACCACGAGGGCCUUGGGUGCCAACCACAGAGCCAUGCAGAUUCUCAACAGCCACUCAGCUGGAGUCUGCCUAAAACUACCGAGUUCCCAAGUUGGGGAGGGGUGGUCAUCAUCACUGUGGCUGCCUGCUGCCUAAACCCUCUGAGUUCCCUGGGGGAGGGGGAGCAAUCAUCACUGUGGUUGCUGGCUGCCUAAGACAACUGAGCUUCCCAAGAGAGGGGCAGUCAUCAUCACUGCAGCUGCCUGCUGCCUGAGGAAACUGAGCUCCCUAAGAAGGGACAGCAGCCAUCACUGUGGCUGCUAGCUGCCUAAGACACUGAACUCCUGGGGAGGAAGGGCGGCAGCCAUUUCUACAGAUCCAGGCUGCUGUUUUUCCUUUGCUGAUGCCAGGAAGACUGGACGGCUUGGUCCCAAGAGGUAUUCCCCACAGCGCAGCAUACUGGCUGUGGCAGAUCAUGGCCAGACUGCCUCUUUAGGCUGACCCUGACCCAUCCCUCCUCACUGGGUGGGGCCUCCCUGCAGGAACUCCAGCAACUCAAGCCAGGGAAUUAGGGAGAGAACUCUGAUCUCUCUAGGUCUGAGUCCCUAGUGGGAGGGGUGGCUGGCUGUUGUCUCCACAAACCGGAAGACUUGUUCUUUCCCCCUGCUCACUCUGAGGAUUCCAGGCAGCCCAGAUGAGUGGGAUUUUCCCCGGCACAGCAUACCCCCUUCCCAAAGGGACAAUCAAAGUGCUUCAUUAAGCAAGUCCUGGAUCCUGUGCCCCUCAACUGGGUGAAACACCCCAGUGGGUCACCAGACACCUUAUACAGGAGCAUUUCUACUGGCAUCAGGUGGGUGCCCCUCAAGGACAGAGAUCCCAGAGGAAGGAGUGGGGUCCCAUCUUUGCUGUUCUCCAGCACCCUCUGGUGACAUCUUCAGGUGUGGGAGGGACCCAGAUAAAUAGGGCUUGAAGUGAAUCCCCAGCAAACCACAGCAGCCCUACAGAAGAGGUACCUGACUGUCGAAAGAAAAACAGAAAGCAACAACAACAUCAACCAAAAAGUCCCCACGAAAACCUCAUCUAAAGGUCAGCAGCCUCAAAGAUCAAAAUGAGACAAACUCAUGAAGAUGAGAAAGGAAUGAAAAACCCCUAACAACUCAAAAGGCCAGAGUGACUUGUUUACUCCAAAUGAUCACAACACCUCUACAGCAAGGGCACAGUCCUGGGUGGAGGUUGAGAUGGAUGAAUUGACAGAAGUAGGCUUCAGAAGGUGGGUAGUAGCAAACUUCACUGAGCUAAAGGAGUACGCUCUAACCCAACAUAUUGGAACGAAUCCCAGAACUUAAAGAUUGGUUCUCUAAAAUAAGACAGACAAAAAUAAAAAAGAAUAAAACGGAAGGAAGAAAACCUCCAAUAAGUAUGGGGUUAUAUAUAGAGGCCAAUUCUACAAAUCACUGGCAUCCCUGAAAGGGAGGUGGAGAAAUCAAUGCAUUGGGUUAGAACAUGCUCAUUUAGCUCUGUGAAAUUUGUUAUUACCCACCUUCUGAACCCUACUUCUGUCAGCAAAGAAGCUAAGAACCAUGUUAAAAGAUUACAGAAGAUGCUAACUAGAAUAACCAGUUUAGAGAGGAACAUAAAUGACCAGAGCCAGCUGUAAAGCACAUAAGGGGAACUUUGUGAUGCAAACACAAGUAUCAACAGCUGAAUUGAUCAAGCAGAAAAAAGAAUAUCAGAGCUUGAAGACUGUCUUGCCAAAAUAAGGCAGGCAGAGAAGAUUAGAGAAAAAAGAAUGAAAAGGAAUGAACAAAACCUCAAAGAACUGUGGAACUAUGUAAAAGACCAAACCUAUGACUGAUUGGACUACCUGAAAGAGACAAGGAGAAUGGAGCCACGUUGGGAAAACACACUUCAAGAUAUCAUCCAGAAGAACUUCCCCAACCUAGCAAGACAGGCCAACAUUCAAAUUCAGGAAAUCCAGAGAACCCCAGUAAGAUACUCCACAAGAAGAUCAACCCUCAAGACACAUAGUCAUCAGAUUCUCCAAGAUCAAAAUGAAGGAAAAAAUGUUAAAGGCAGACAGAGACAAAGGGCAGGUCACCUACAACGGGAAGCCCAUCUGACUAAGAGUGGGCCUCUCAGCAGAAACCCCACAAGCCAGGAGACAGUUGGGUCCAAUGGUCAACAUUCUUAGAGAAAAGAAUUUCUAACCUAGAAUUUCAUAUCUGGCCAAACUAACCUUCAUAAGUGAAGGAGAAAUCCUUUUCAGACAAGCAAAUGCUGAGGGAAUUUAUCACCACCAGGCCUGCCUUGCAAGACCUCCUGAAGGAAGUGCUAAAGAUGGAAAGGAAAAACUGGUACCAGCCACUGCAAAAAUGUACUGAAGUACAAAGACCAAUGACACUAUGAAGAAACUGCAUCAACUAGUGAGCAAAAUAACCAGCAAGCAUCAUGGUGACAGGAUCAAAUUCACACAUAACCAUAUUAACCUUAAGUGUCAAUGGGCUAAAUGUACCAAUUAAAAGACACAGACCAGCAAAUUGGAUAUAAAGAGUCAAGAUUCAGGUGUGCUGUAUUCAGGGUUCCUAUCUCAUGUGCAAAGACACACAUAGGCUCAAAGCGAUGGAGGAAAAUUUACCAAGCAAAUGGAAAGCAGAAAAAAGCAGGGGUUGCAAUCUUAGUUUCUGACAAAACAGACUUUGAAUCAACAAAGAUAAAAAAAGACAAAGAAGAACAUCACAAUGAUAAAGGAAUCAAUUCAACAAGAAGAGCUAACUAUCCUAAAUAUGUAUGCACCCAAUACAGGAGAACCCAGAUUCACAAAACAAGUUCUUAGAGACCUACAAAGAGACUCAGGCUACCACACAACAAUAGUGGGAGACAUUAACACCCCACUGUCAAUAUUGGAUCAUCUAGGCAGAAAAUUGACAAGAAAGGACUUGAACACAGCUCUGGAUCAAGUGAAUCUCAUAGAUAUCUACAGAACUCUCCAACACGAAACAACAGACUAUAUAUUAUUCUUAGUGGCAUAUGACACUCUAAAAUUGAUCACAAAAUUAGAAUUAAAACACUCCUCAGCAAAUGCAAAAUAACUGAAAUCAUAACAAUCUCUCAGACCACAGUGCAAUCAAAUUAGAACUCAAGAUUAAGAAACUCACUCAAAACCACACAACUACAUGGAUAUUGAACAACGUGCUCCUGAGUGACUUCUGGGUAAAUAAUAAAAUUAAGGCAGAAAUCAAGAAGCUCUUUGAAACCAAUGAGAACAAAGAGACAAUGUACCAGAAUCUCUGGGAGGCAACUAAAGCAGUGUUAAGAGGUAAAUUUAUAGCACUAAAUGCCCACAUCAUAAAGCUAGACAUAUCUCAAAUUGACACCCUAACAUCACAACUAAAAGAACUAGAGAAGCAAGAGCAAACAAAUCCAAAAGUUAGCAGAAGAGAAAAAAAAAAAUGACUAAGAUCAAAGUGGAACUGAAGGAGACAGAGACAUGAAAAACCCUUCAAAAAAAAAAAGAAAGAAAUAAAACAUGUUCAAAUAGCAAGAGAUAAAAUCAAAUUGUCUGUGUUUGCAGAAAAUGUGAUUCUAUAUCUAGAAAACCACAUCGUCACAGCCCAAAAACUCCUUAAGCUGAUAAGCAAGUUCAGCAAAGUCUGAAGAUACAAAAUCAAUGUGCAAAAAUCACAAGCAUUCUUAUACACCAGCAAUAGACAAUAUUCUUCAAUUCCUAUACACCAACAAUAGGCAAGAGAGCCAAAUCAUGAAUGAACUCCCAUUCACAAUUGUUACAAAGAGAAUAAAAUACCUAGGAAUACAGCUAACGAUGGAUGUGAAGAACCUCUUCAAGGAGAACUACAAGCCACUGCUCAAGGAAAUAAGAGAGGACACAAACAAAUGGAAAAAUAUUCCAUGCUCAUGGGUGGGAAGAAUCAAUCUCAUGAAAAUGGCCAUACUGCCCAAGGUAAUUUAUAGAUUCAGUGCUAUUCACAUCAAACUACCAUUGACAUUCUUCACAUAAUUAAAAAAAAACUACUUUAAGUUUCAUAUGCAACCAAAAAAGAGACUGAAUAGUCGAGACAAUCCUAAGCCAAAAGAACAAAGCUGGAGGCAUCAUGCUAUAUGACUUCAAACUAUACUACAAGGCCACACUAAUCAAAACAGCAUGGUACUGUUACCAAAACAGACACACAGACCAAUGGAGCAGAAUAGAGAUCUCAGAAAUAAGACCACACAUCUACAACCAUCUGAUCUUUGACAAACCUGACAAAAACAAGCAAUGGGGGAAGGAAUACCUAUUUAUUUAUUUAUUUAUUUAUUUUGAGACAAAGUCUCACUCUGUCACCAGGCUGGAGUGCAGCGGCAUGAUCUCAGCUCACUGCAACCUCUGCCUCCCGGAUUCAAGUGAUUCUCCUGCCUCAGCCUCCUGAGUAGCUGGGACUACAGGUUCGAGCCACCACGCCCAGCUAGUUUUUGUAUUUUUAGAAGAGACGGGGUUUCACCAUGUUGGCCAGGAUGGUCUUGAUCUCUUGACCUCAAGAUCCACCUGCAUCAGCCUCCCAAAGUGCUGAGAUUAUAGACAUGAGCCACUGCACUUGGCCAGGAUUCCCUAUUUAAAUGGUGCUGGGAAAACUGACUAGCCAUAUGCAGAAAACUGAAACUGGACCUCAUCCUUACAUCUUAUGCAAAAAUUAACUCAAGAUGGAUUAAAAACUUAAAUGUGAAACCCCGAACUGUAAAAAACCCUAGAAGAAAAUCUAGGAAGUUCCAUUCAGGACAUAGGCAUGAGCAAAGAUUUUAUGAUGAAAUCAUCAAUAGCAAUUGCAACAAAAGCAAAAAUUGAUAAAUGGGAUCUAAUUAAACGUAAGCACUUCUGCACAGGGAAAGAAACUAUCAUCAGAGUGAACAAGCAACCUACAGAAUGGGAGAAUAUUUUUGCAAUCUACCAAUCUGACAAAGGUCUAAUAUCCAGAAUCUACAAGGAACUUAAACAAAUUUACAAGAAAAUAACAACCCCAUCAAAACAUGGGCAAAGGCCACGAACAGACAUUCUGAAAAGAAGACAUUUAUGCGUCCGACAAACAUAUGAAAAAAAAAGCUCAACACUAGUGUUUAUUAGAGAAAUGCAAAUCAAAACCACAAUGAGAUACCAUCUCAUGCCAGUCAGAAUGGCAAUUAUUAAAAAGUCAAGAAACAACAGAUGCUAGAGAGGCUGUGGAGAAACAGGAACACUUUUACACUGUUGGUGGGAAUGUAAACUAGUUCAACCAUUGUGGAAGACAGUGUGGCAAUUCCUGGAGGAUCUAGAAGCAGAAAUACCAUUUGACCCAGCAAUCCCAUUACUAGGUUUAUAUCCAAAGAAAUAUAAAUCAUUCUGUUUUAAAGAUACAUGCACACUUAUGUUUAUUGCAGCACUAUUCACAAUAGCAAAGACAUGGAAUCAGCCCAAAUGUCCAUCAAUGAUAGACUGGAUAAAGAAAAUGUGAUACAUAUACACCAUGGAAUACUAUGCAGCCAUAAAAAGGAAUGAGAUCAUGUCUUUUGCAGGGACAUGGAUGAAGCUGGAAGCCAUAAACUUCAGCUAAUUAACACAGGAACAGGAAACCAAACACCACAUGUUCUCAUAAGUGGGAACCGAACAAUGAGAACACAUGGACACAGGGAGGGGCAGAACACACACCGGAGCCUGUUGGGAAGGUAGGGGGAAGGAGAGCAUCACGAUAAAUAGCUAAUGCACGUGGGGCUUAAUACCUAGGUGAUAGGUUGAUAGGUGCAGCAAACCACCAUGGCACAUGUUUAACUAUGUAACAAACCUGCACAUCCUGUACAUGUAUCCUGGAACUUAAAAUAAAAUAGAAAAGACAAAGAAGGAUAUUACAUAAUGGCAAAGGCUUCAAUUCAACGAGAAGACCUAACUAUCCUAAAUAUAUAUUCAUCCAAUGCAGGAGCACCCAGAUUCAUAAGUAAAGUUCUUAGAGACCUACAAAGUAUGUUUCACAGUAAUAGUGGGAGAUUUCCACACUCCAAUGACAGUAUUAGACAGAUGAUUGAGGCAAAAAAAUGAACAAAGAUAUUCAGGACCUGAACUCAACAUUGGAUCAAAUGGAUCUGAUAGACCUUUACAGAACUCUGCACUCAAAAACAACAGAAUAUGCAUUCCUCACAUCAUCAUAUGCCACAUACUCUAAAAUCAACCACAUAAUUGGACAUAAAGCAAUCCUCAGCAAAUGCAAAACAACUGAAAUCAUACCAAAUACAUACUGAGAUCACAGUGCAGUAAAAAUAGAAGACUAAGAAAAUUGCUGAAAAUCAUGCAAUUACAUGGAAAUCAAUCAACAUGCUCCUGAAUGACUUUUUAAUAAAUAAUGAAAUUAAGGCAGAAAUCAAGAAGCUCUUUGAAAAUAAUGAGAACAAAGUUACAACAUACUAGAGCCUCUGGACACAGCUAAGACAAUGUUAGGAGGGAAAUUUAUAGCACUAAAUCCCACAUCAAAAAGUUAGGAAGAACUCAAAUUAAUAACCUAACAUCACAACUGAAAGAACUAGAGAAGCAAGACAAAACCCCAAAGCUAGAGGAAGACAAGAAAUAACUGAAAAUCUGAGCUGAACUGAAAGAAACCGAGACAUGAAAAAAAGAAAUUCAAAAGAUCUAUGAAUUCCGGGUAGGUUUCUUGAAAAUAUUAAUAAGAAAGUCUGCUAGCAGACUAAUACAGAGGAUGAUUGAAAGAAACACAAUUAGAAAUGACAAAGGGAAUGUUACCACUGACCCCACAGAAAUAGAAACAGCCAUCAGAAACUACUGCAAACACUUCUAUGCAUACAAACUAGAAAACUUCAAAGAGAUGGAUAAAUUCAUGGAGAAAUACACCCUCCCACAACUGAGCCAGGAAGAAAUUGAUUUGCUGUAAACAGACCAAUAACAAGCUCCGAAAUUGAAUCAGUAAUAAAUAACCUACCAACCAAAAAAAGCCCAGAACAUGAUGGAUUCCCAGUCAUAUUCUACUAGAAAUACAAAGAAGAGCUGGUACCAUUUUUACAGGAACUAUUUGAAAAUAUUGAGGAGGAGGAACUCCUCCCCAACUCAUUCUAUGAGGCCAACAUCAUCUUGAUACCAAAAUCUGGCAGACACACACACACACACACACACACACACACACACACACACACACACACACACUCUUCAGGCCAAUACCCUCGAUGAACAUCAAUGCAAAAAUCCUCAACAAAAUACUGGCAAACCAAAUCCAGCAGCACAUCAAAAAGUUAAUCCAUCAUGAUCAAGUAUGCUUCAUCCCCAGGAUGCAAGGUUGCCUCAACAUACACAUAUCAAUUAAUCUGAUUCAUCACAUAAACAAAACUAAAGAUAAAAACCAUGUGGUUAUCUCAAUAUAAGCAGAAAAGGCUUUCAAUAAAAUUCAAUGCCUCUCCAUAUUAAAAACUCUAAAAAAUCUGGGUAUUGAAGAAACAUAGCUCAAAAUGAUGAGCUGUUUUUGUAUCAGUAUCAUGCUGUUUUGGUUACUGUAGCCCUGUAGUAUGGUUUGAAGUUGGGUAACAUGAUGCCUCCAGCUUCGUUCUUUUUGCUGAGGAUUGCUUGGCUAUUAGGGCUCUUUUUUUUGGUUCCAUAUGAAUUUUGAAAUAGUUUGCUCUAGUUCUGUGAGGAAUGCCGUUGGUAAUUUAAUAGGGAUAACUUGCAUCUGUAAAUUACUUUGGGCAGUAUAGCCAUUUUAAUGACAUUAAUUCUUCCUAUCCAUGAGCAUGACAUGUUUUUCCAUUUGUUUGUGUCUUCUCUGAUUUCUUUGAGCAGUGUUUUGUAAUUCUUCUAGAGAUCUCCUAGAGAUCUUUCACCUCCCUGGUUAGCUGUAUUCCUAGGUAUCUUAUUUUUUCUGUGUGUAGCAAUUAUGAAUGGGAUUGUGUUCUUCAUUUGACUCUCUGCUUGACUUGAUGUAUAGGACUGCUAGUAAUUUUUGCACAUUGAUUUUGUAUGCUAAGACUUUGCUAAAGUUUAUCAGCAGAAGAAGCUUUGGGGCCAAGACUAUGGGGCUUUCUAGAUAUAGAAACAUGUCAUCUGUAAACAGAGACAGUUUGACUUCCUGUCUAUUCCUCUCUUCCCUCCUCUGUUUGGAUGCCCUUCCAGUUUUGCACAUUCAGUGUAAUGUUGGCUGUGGGUUUGUCAUGGCUAGCUCUCAUCAUUUUGGCACUUCUGACUAGAAGGGCAAGAGGGGCCAGUGUUGUUGUUACCUGAAAGGUAAGUGCAGCCCACAAAAAUGCAGUGAAGAAGAAGAUGUAUUAUGCAUAUGUUUAAGUUAAUACAAUUGAGAUAUAUUUAGCAGACAGAAUCAAUAGAGUUGAUGAGUGACUGACUGGAUGUGUGGGGAGUUUAUAUCACUCCCAGGUUUUUGACUUGGGCAACCGGGCACUCAUGAAGGAAAAAGGGGAUCCAGGGAGAGGAACUUUUCUGAGGACUGGGGUAGGGCUGAACAGCUGCAUUCGAGGCUGGUGGAGGGUGGGCUGGGCAUGGGAUGCACAAAUGGAAAUUCCACUGGGUCUGCAGCUCACACAUAGGCAUGACCAGCAUAGAGAUAGAGAGGCCCCAGUGCUGCUGAGUAACUGUGAUUCCCCAGGUGAUGGCAUCAGCUGAGAAGGGAAGGAAGCCCAUGAGAGGACACUGAAGAAGGAGUGAGCAGACAAUAAGAAGCCCACAGAAGACAGAGAAGGAACAACUAGAGGGAGAAGCCAAGGCAGGCGUGUGUGGUAACACAUAGGAACUGAGGGAGAGGACAUUUCAAGAUGGUGGGGAUGCCAUACAACAGGACUAUGUGAUGGUUUUUGGCUGUGUCCAUAGGAAGUCACAACAGGCAAGGGAAAGAAACCAGAACCCAGUCAUGGAGUUAAGAAGUGAGUCAGAGAGUAGAUGGGUAGGGACAGUGAGGUAAGGCCUCUUUCUAAGGAAGUUUGGCUGAAGGAUAGACUAGCUGGACACAUGCUGGCUGUGUGGGGUAGAGGGAGGAAUGAUGGAGGGUAGGAGAGCCUUGAGCCUGCGAGAAGAGUCUCUUAGAAUAGAGAAGCUGAAGUUAAAGUUGUGGAAGAGAGUGGGGAUAACUGAGUGACAGAUAAUCAGGAGAAGAAAAGGAGAUCCAGACUCAUGACAGAGAGAUGACCUUUGCCAAGAGCACAGCCGUCUUUCACGGUCACAGAGAGGUAGGACAAAAUGAGUGGUGUUCAAGAAUUGGUUUGUAGCACAAUAUUUCAACUAUGUCCUUUAAAAAGUUUCUCCACAGACACUACCCAAAGCAGUGCUUCACUACAGUGGCAGACAGACCUGAAAAUUUUCAUCUGAAGCAGCAGAGUGAACUGCAGAGGCAGGUCACCAACCAGUGUGGAGGCUAAAAGCGGGCCUCUUUGGGGAUUCCAGGUGGAAGUGUUGGACAUCUGUAGUAUUCCUGGUCUCGAAUCAUCCUGAUAUUCUUCAUUUUGUUAUUCACAUUGGACUAGGAGAUAGAAUCUCACUAUGUUGACCAGGCUGGUCUUGAACUCUUGGCACCCAAGCGAUCCUUUUGCCUGGAAUCCCAAAGUGUCAGAUUUACUGAAGAAUAUUUCAUUGUAAUUACUUUUUAUACUUUAUAGGUCAAGAGCUCUGUUUUAAAUACAAAAUUUAUUGAAUAUACUUUUUCAAACAAAGUUUCAUGUUCUAAUCAUUGUCUGAUUUCAGCAUUAAAUGAAACACAGUAAAGAAA
Molecule: long non-coding RNA, 14820 nt
Filed under: Homo sapiens (human)
Lineage: Eukaryota; Metazoa; Chordata; Mammalia; Primates; Hominidae
Description: lncAB313.1
Source: RNAcentral